GUUGCCCAAAGGCCUAAGCUUUAGUUCAUGUUUAUGCUCCUCGUUUAUAGAGAAGUAGAGACGAGGGAGAGUCUUUUAAGUUUAUCUAAUUAAGCAGGGGAGGUGUAAGCAACGAUAAAGAUGGUGGAAACAGCUAACAGCCACCAGCCACCUCCAUUUCAAGCCGCCCCCCCACCACCUCCAUCUCUUGCCGUUUCAAGGGG
Molecule: unclassified non-coding RNA, 203 nt
Filed under: Hevea brasiliensis (rubber tree)
Lineage: Eukaryota; Viridiplantae; Streptophyta; Magnoliopsida; Malpighiales; Euphorbiaceae
Source: RNAcentral